Molecule: ribosomal RNA, 475 nt
Filed under: uncultured Bacillota bacterium
Lineage: Bacteria; Bacillati; Bacillota
Description: bacterial SSU rRNA
Rfam family: Bacterial small subunit ribosomal RNA
Source: RNAcentral
UAGGGAAUCUUCCACAAUGGGCGAAAGCCUGAUGGAGCAACGCCGCGUGAGUGAUGAAGGCCUUCGGGUUGUAAAACUCUGUCUUCUGUGACGAACAAGCCUGUGAGUGGAAAGCUCAGGCCCUGACGGUAACAGAGGAGGAAGCCACGGCUAACUACGUGCCAGCAGCCGCGGUAAUACGUAGGUGGCGAGCGUUGUCCGGAAUCACUGGGCGUAAAGCGCGCGCAGGCGGCGAUCUACGUCUGGGGUGAAAGCCCGGAGCUCAACUCCGGGACUGCCUUGGAUACGGGAUCGCUUGAGGAUUGGAGAGGCAAGGGGGAAUUCCACGUGUAGCGGUGAAAUGCGUAGAGAUGUGGAGGAACACCUGUGGCGAAGGCGCCUUGCUGGCCGAAUUACUGACGCUGAGGCGCGAAGCGUGGGGAGCAAACAGGAUUAGAUACCCUGUAGUCCACGCCGUAACGAUGAGUGCUAGGUG